GACGAACGCUGGCGGCGUGCUUAACACAUGCAAGUCGAACGGAAAGGCCCUGCUUUUGUGGGGUGCUCGAGUGACGAACGGGUGAGUAACACGUGAGUAACCUGCCCUUGACUUUGGGAUAACUUCAGGAAACUGGGGCUAAUACCGGAUAGGAGCUCCUGCUGCAUGGUGGGGGUUGGAAAGUUUCGGCGGUUGGGGAUGGACUCGCGGCUUAUCAGCUUGUUGGUGGGGUAGUGGCUUACCAAGGCUUUGACGGGUAGCCGGCCUGAGAUGGUGACCGGCCACAUUGGGACUGAGAUACGGCCCAGACUCCUACGGGAGGCAGCAGUGGGGAAUAUUGCACAAUGGGCGGAAGCCUGAUGCAGCAACGCCGCGUGCGGGAUGACGGCCUUCGGGUUGUAAACCGCUUUCGCCUGUGACGAAGCGUGAGUGACGGUAAUGGGUAAAGAAGCACCGGCUAACUACGUG
RNAcentral lists this ribosomal RNA (468 nucleotides) under uncultured bacterium. RNAcentral describes it as "partial 16S ribosomal RNA". It matches the Rfam family "Bacterial small subunit ribosomal RNA", at positions 28 to 507 of the family's 1533-position model. The record is from RNAcentral.